RNAcentral lists this long non-coding RNA (540 nucleotides) under Durio zibethinus. Its description in RNAcentral is "long non-coding RNA (DZIB_LNC002358)". Lineage: Eukaryota; Viridiplantae; Streptophyta; Magnoliopsida; Malvales; Malvaceae. The record is from RNAcentral.
ACGGGAACCAUGUGACGCGGCAUAGGCACGGGGCUAUGGACGGGAAGAUGAAACGCUGUCGGAGGAGGAGGAAGAGGAGGGUAGACCUGCAGCAUCCCAGGGGGCGGAGGAGGAGGGAUCAUCAUCCUGUGAUUUUGUUGCUGCUGCAGAGGCGUAGAGCGAGUAGGCACAAAUUCCGGCGCCUGUGCGUUGAGUCGACUGGAUGACAAGUUCCACGACAGGUGUGGAUCUGAAGAUGAAGAAGAAGAGGAUGAUUGGGGUGAAUCUAGGGUUUCCAACUGGGCCAUUACUUGGGGAUACACAGAAUUUAGUUAUUUUGUUCUUUUUAUUAUUAUUAUUUGAGCUUAGAAAAGGAUAUAUGGCUGAGUGAUCUCAAUGUGACUAUGUAGAGGGUUUGCUGCCCGUAGGGACUGAAGGCCCCGAGAAGGGCGAGGAAAGAAGACAAUGGAGAGGAUUUCUCGCCGUCCGCUAAACCAUCUUUGCGCCCCAUUUACACUCGUCCACUUUUCUUUUUUGGUGAUGUGUCGUUCUCUCUUUUUA